UUCCAGACUCCUACGGGAGGCAGCAGUGGGGAAUAUUGCACAAUGGGGGGAACCCUGAUGCAGCGAUGCCGCGUGGAGGAAGAAGGUUUUCGGAUUGUAAACUCCUUUUAUCAGGGACGAUAAUGACGGUACCUGAAGAAAAAGCUCCGGCCAACUACGUGCCAGCAGCCGCGGUAAUACGUAGGGAGCGAGCGUUGUCCGGAAUUACUGGGUGUAAAGGGAGCGUAGGCGGGACGGCAAGUCAGAUGUGAAAACUGAGGGCUCAACUUUCAGACUGCAUUUGAAACUGCUGUUCUUGAGUGAAGUAGAGGUAAGCGGAAUUCCUAGUGUAGCGGUGAAAUGCGUAGAUAUUAGGAGGAACACCAGUGGCGAAGGCGACUUUCUGGACUGCACCUGACGCUGAGGCGCGAAAGCGUGGGUAGCGAACGGGAUUAGAUACCCCUGUAA
RNAcentral lists this ribosomal RNA (447 nucleotides) under uncultured bacterium. Its description in RNAcentral is "bacterial SSU rRNA". It matches the Rfam family "Bacterial small subunit ribosomal RNA", at positions 329 to 793 of the family's 1533-position model. The record is from RNAcentral.